RNAcentral lists this ribosomal RNA (429 nucleotides) under bacterium. RNAcentral describes it as "partial 16S ribosomal RNA". It matches the Rfam family "Bacterial small subunit ribosomal RNA", at positions 355 to 776 of the family's 1533-position model. The record is from RNAcentral.
UAGGGAAUCUUCCACAAUGGACGCAAGUCUGAUGGAGCAACGCCGCGUGAGUGAAGAAGGUUUUCGGAUCGUAAAGCUCUGUUGUUGGUGAAGAAGGAUAGAGGUAGUAACUGUCCUUUAUUUGACGGUAAUCAACCAGAAAGUCACGGCUAACUACGUGCCAGCAGCCGCGGUAAUACGUAGGUGGCAAGCGUUGUCCGGAUUUAUUGGGCGUAAAGCGAGCGCAGGCGGAAGAAUAAGUCUGAUGUGAAAGCCCUCGGCUUAACCGAGGAACUGCAUCGGAAUAUGUGUAACUUGAGUGCAGAAGAGGAGAGUGGAAUUCCAUGGGUAGCGGUGGAAUGCGUAAAUAUAUGGAAGAACACCAGUUGCGAAGGCGACUCUCUGGUCUGCAACUGACGCUGAGGCUCGAAAGCAUGGGUAGCGAACAGG